Molecule: non-coding RNA, 21 nt
Organism: Caenorhabditis elegans
Lineage: Eukaryota; Metazoa; Nematoda; Chromadorea; Rhabditida; Rhabditidae
Source: Ensembl
UAUUACGCAUUGUGAUUUUCG